Molecule: unclassified non-coding RNA, 337 nt
Filed under: soil metagenome
Description: partial contains 5.8S ribosomal RNA, internal transcribed spacer 2, and large subunit ribosomal RNA
Rfam family: 5.8S ribosomal RNA (bases 1-120)
Source: RNAcentral
GAUGAAGAACGUAGUGAAAUGCGAUAAGUAGUGUGAAUUGCAGAAUUCAGUGAAUCAUCGAAUCUUUGAACGCACAUUGCGCCCCUUGGUAUUCCAUGGGGCAUGCCUGUUCGAGCGUCAUUUGUACCUUCAAGCUCUGCUUGGUGUUGGGUGUUUGUCUCGCCUCUGCGUGUAGACUCGCCUCAAAACAAUUGGCAGCCGGCGUAUUGAUUUCGGAGCGCAGUACAUCUCGCGCUUUGCACUCAUAACGACGACGUCCAUAAGUACAUUUUUACACUCUUGACCUCGGAUCAGGUAGGGAUACCCGCUGAACUUAAGCAUAUCAAUAAGCGGAGGA